This is a long non-coding RNA of Teleopsis dalmanni, 842 nucleotides long. RefSeq lists it as uncharacterized. Lineage: Eukaryota; Metazoa; Arthropoda; Insecta; Diptera; Diopsidae. The record is from RefSeq and is a predicted model, not a curated record. The transcript has 3 exons.
AAUAUAUUUCUUUAUUAAAAAUUUUGUUUAAAUUAAUUUUAUAUUAUUUUAAACUGAUACAAUUAUGUAGCUGCGGAGUGAUUUUCGAUCACUUGGAUGGACUGCGAGUGCGUGCUGCAAUUAUUCUCGUGCUAGGGUGGGUUUUUUCGGGGACUAAACUCAAAAUCAGAGACCUAGCAGCGGUUCUAGUUGAAGUUUCAACAAUAGGAUAGUCAUGGCCUCUGCCUACUGCCCAGGUGAAGAAGAAACCGUUCCAUCAUCGAAAGUCCAACAGCUAAUUUCAAGUCUACUGGGCGGCAGCUAAUUAGAAUAUAUUAUGUGUCUUGGAUCAAUUAUAGCUAAUGAAGGUAACAAACCCACAUUUAUUAACGUAAUUAGAGAAGAGGUAUUGGAUCCCACUCUAUACACCAGAGGCAUUGAGGAAUCUAUAUAAAAUUCGCAAGUGUCGAACGAAGUGUCAAUCAUGGUCGCAGUGCUCCGCAUCGUUUAUUUCUAUCCUAUCCUAUCCUAAUCUAUUUUAAUUUCGGACAUUUGCAACAUUCAUUCCCAGUACGUGCUAUAUUAAGUAUGUAAUGUUUAAAUAUAGUCAUGUUUUAUGUAGGCGAAAAUUUGUUGUAAAUUUCCGUCCUUACAGCGCUUAUCAAGAAUUAGAAAGAUGUCUGACAAUUUAUUUAAUAUAUUAACUGCAUUAUGGUGCAUAUUUACAAUAACUGCAUAAUCAAAAAAUUUUGAAAAUAUAGUUUAGGCCUUUGUUGUGUGCCACUAUUACUACAGUCUUACUGGAGUUGAAAAUUUAUUUUCAUAUGGAUUUUUUGAUUCCGACUUUUUGAAAAUAUAAUAGA